UAGCUCAGUCGGUAGAGCAUCAGACUUUUA
RNAcentral lists this non-coding RNA (30 nucleotides) under Xenopus tropicalis (tropical clawed frog). The record is from RNAcentral. Lineage: Eukaryota; Metazoa; Chordata; Amphibia; Anura; Pipidae. RNAcentral also lists the same sequence under 3 other names.